RNA transcript from Benincasa hispida (wax gourd), 2767 nucleotides. It is a transcript of the gene named Zinc finger C-x8-C-x5-C-x3-H type family protein, with no coding region annotated. The record is from RefSeq and is a predicted model, not a curated record. Lineage: Eukaryota; Viridiplantae; Streptophyta; Magnoliopsida; Cucurbitales; Cucurbitaceae.
UGAUUUCCUUUUUCAUUAUUGUAAAAAGAACAGAAAGUACCCCCCGAGCCCAUUUCUUCAUUUACUUUUACUCGAUUUCUAGCACUGAAAGUUGGAGGAAGAAGCAGAACUCAGAACCCGGAGACCGGAGGCCGGAGGCCGGAAGCCCUAGCUUCCGAUUUUAGCGUUACCGUCUUCCCAGUAGCUUAAAGAUUGAAUAUUGUGUACCUUGUAGAUGUUUGUAAUGAUAUGGAUACCAAGAGGCAUGGCAAGCACUUGAGAUCAGACACCAUUACUACUACUGAAAAUUCUGAAGUGAAACUGUUCUCUGUAGGAGAAACUGAAAAUAGUGGCAAUCUUGAAUUUUCUAGUCCAUCAGGUAAGCCCUUGGAAAACAAGGAGGAACAAUCACAUGGAGAGUGCACGAAAGUUGAAUCACGGAAAUGUCUGAAGGACAAGGAGACAGAAGAUCAAGAACUUACUGUGGGUGAUAAGGAUGUAGAGGCUUUGAGAAAUAAUUUACCUAAAGAUUUUGGUGGCUCAAAUUAUAAGAAGGUUCUAUUAUGCAAUAGUGAGGUUAUGGAUGCUGAAGCCACCAAUGGAUCAAGUGUCACCUUAGGGGAUUCGGACAUUGGAUCAAAAAAUCACUCGGUUGGACGGAGUAUUGGUACUACAAAUCCUGAGAGAGAGAGUAAGCAAACGAACAUGGAACUAGAGAAUGGAGAAAACCAAAUGGCAUCAAGAUCAGCUGCUUCAAAAAAGAGGUCAAGAAGUUUGUCCCCCGUUGCUGAUGUUAAUGGUGAAGAAAAACACCCUGCUGCAGCUAUCUGUGACUUCUAUGCUAAAGGCUGGUGCAUAAAAGGUAGCUCUUGCAGCUUUCUGCAUAUAAAAAAGAAUGCAUACAGUAGUGACCAGCAUUCUGAGGAUCGUGCUGAUGCUUCAAAUUUGAAAAAACAAGCUCAGCUCAAUGAAGGUUUGCAAUACAGUGCAGACGUGUUGAAAUCACCAGUUGUUCAUCAUCCACCGAAUUCUUCUCUUCUAAAGGACUCUUCACUUUCUCUGAAAUUUGGUCUUUCUUCAGAAAGAACUUUACCAAGGGACUUCUCCAAAAGCCAAGGAUGGGAUGGGUUGCAUGAGAAAAACAAAAUUUUAUUGCAUCAGAGGGAGGAUUCACUUUUGGGUGCACUUCCUGAUUGCCAGAAAUUGCCUUCUACUAGUUUUGGUGCAUCGUUUCCCCUUAGUAGAGGUCUUUCUGCAUCAAGGCAUGGGUUGCCUCCUGAGUUUGGACUUUCUGCAGAUGGCUUCACCAAAUUGGGUGUCAUGGAGGAACCCGCUAAUGUUGCAUGUCCACGUUUGCUGAACAAUCACCUUCCAAGGGGUGGUAUUUUAUCUUCACGUUUCACUACCUCUAAUGCUUCUUCUUUGCCUUUUACAUCUUCCUCAAAUGCAAGCCUCCUCGGUGCUCAUAAGAUGUCCAUUAUGGACAGAGAACAUCAUGUUUCUACGCUGGCCUCGUUGAUGAGAAGUUCUCCCUUUUCUGCCUCCGGAUCAGAUAAUUCAUUAACUAAUGGGUCAAUGAAUUCUUCAGAAUUCAAAAUGAAAUAUUCUUCGGACGAUUGGGAACCAUCUAUACCUUUUAGACCAUCCUUUUUUAUUCCUUCAAUAACUACGGUAAGCCAGUAUGAUCCUUUCUUGGAUAGCAUUGAGGUACCGAGAAUAGUGGGUGGUUCUUAUAAUGUUUCUCUUGAUCGUCAAGGACAUGAAGAAGCAUCACCUCUUAGAACUUUACGGAGGGCAUCGGGUAAUUUUAUGGUUCCUGGGAGUUCAAAGCCGGAAUCUAAUGAUGAUACAAGUUCUUUAUCCUCUCAUAAUAAAACUGAGGAGAAGAAUGAAAAAAUUGGGCAUCUACAAGGCAAAGAUUCACUUUUGUUAGAAGCAGAAAUACGGGGAUCUUUUGGUAUUGAUGGCCGUAAUGGUUCUAGGACAAGAGAGGAUGAUCACAUGGGUGUCACCCGUGAAAAAAAUGUUACCAAAAAGAAGGAUGGUGAACUAAAGCUUCCAAAUAUUUCAUUACAUGAAAAGGACUCUGAAGCCGAUAGUGAUAGACAACUUGGUGAUAUGGAUGGUAAGCAUCUCAUGGAUGGAAAUGUGCCCAAAGAAUCAAAAGCAACUAGGCACUUCCGAUCUGCUCUCAUAGAAUUGGUGAAACAAAUAUUGAAACCUAAGUGGCGUGAGGGACGUCUCAAAAAGGAUGUACAUAACACUGUUGUUAAGAAGACACUUGAUAAGGUUCUAGGUGCUCUUCAAUCUCACCAAGUUCCAACUACUGUGGAAUCGGUUAAGCAGUAUCUUUCUUCAUCUCGUCCGAAGAUCGAGAAGCUUGUUGAGGGAUAUGUUAGUAAAUAUGGAAAGUCUUGAGAUGGCAGGCUAGCGCUUUUUUUUUUUUGUCUCUCGUUCUCCAUUGAAAGACAAGGAUAGAUGAUUUUCUGUUAUUAGACGCAGUGCUUCUGAGCCAGUUUUUAGAAGCCUUAUCUGUUGCUGUGGCGACUACUUUCUGUCAAAUGAACUGUUGUUGGAACGGGGCACAGGCACAUCAUUAACAAAUACAAAUGCUUCAAAGAAUUACAGGUGACUUCUUGUUUGUUAACUGUUAAUAUGCGAUUUAGUGUUGGUUUGAAAUGACUUUCGAAGUUUUGAUCUUACUAGACCAGCUAAAAGCUUACUCCAAUUGAUUAUGGCAUGCUUUGAGCCUCGAAAUAUAUAUAAUAUAACCAAAAAAAUUAUUUAA